This 404-nucleotide ribosomal RNA is filed under the name uncultured prokaryote. RNAcentral's name for it is "bacterial SSU rRNA". It matches the Rfam family "Bacterial small subunit ribosomal RNA", at positions 355 to 776 of the family's 1533-position model. RNAcentral also lists the same sequence under 1 other name. The record is from RNAcentral.
UGGGGAAUAUUGCGCAAUGGAGGAAACUCUGACGCAGCAACGCCGCGUGAAGGAUGAAGGUUUUCGGAUUGUAAACUUCUUUGAUCGGGGACGAAAAUGACGGUACCUCAAAAACAAGCCACGGCUAACUACGUGCCAGCAGCCGCGGUAAUACGUAGGUGGCGAGCGUUGUCCGGAAUUACUGGGUGUAAAGGGCGUGUAGGCGGGAAAGCAAGUCAGAUGUGAAAUACCGGGGCUUAACUCCGGGGCUGCAUCUGAAACUGUAUCUCUUGAGUGCUGGAGAGGAAAGCGGAAUUCCUAGUGUAGCGGUGAAAUGCGUAGAUAUUAGGAGGAACACCAGUGGCGAAGGCGGCUUUCUGGACAGUAACUGACGCUGAGGCGCGAAAGCGUGGGGAGCGAACAGG